CCUACGGGGGGCAGCAGUGGGGAAUAUUGCACAAUGGGGGAAACCCUGAUCCAGCGACGCCGCGUGAGUGAAGAAGUAUUUCGGUAUGUAAAGCUCUGUCAGCAGGGAAGAAAGAAAUGACGGUACCUGACCAAGAAGCCCCGGCUAACUACGUGCCAGCAGCCGCGGUAAUACGUAGGGGGCAAGCGUUAUCCGGAAUUACUGGGUGUAAAGGGAGCGUAGACGGUUAAGUAAGUCUGGAGUGAAAGGCCGGGGCCCAACCCCGGGACUGCUCUGGAAACUAUUGAACUUGAGUGCAGGGGAGGUAAGCGGAAUUCCUAGUGUAGCGGUGAAAUGCGUAGAUAUUAGGAGGAACACCAGUGGCGAAGGCGGCUUACUGGACUGUAACUGACGUUGAGGCUCGAAAGCGUGGGGAGCAAACAGGAUUAGAUACCCUGGUAGUC
Molecule: ribosomal RNA, 443 nt
Filed under: uncultured bacterium
Lineage: Bacteria
Description: partial 16S ribosomal RNA
Rfam family: Bacterial small subunit ribosomal RNA
Source: RNAcentral